RNAcentral lists this ribosomal RNA (409 nucleotides) under uncultured bacterium. RNAcentral describes it as "bacterial SSU rRNA". It matches the Rfam family "Bacterial small subunit ribosomal RNA", at positions 505 to 916 of the family's 1533-position model. The record is from RNAcentral.
GUGCCAGCCGCCGCGGUAAUACGGAGGGUGCAAGCGUUAUCCGGAUUCACUGGGUUUAAAGGGUGUGUAGGCGGGUAUUUAAGUCAGUGGUGAAAUCUCCGAGCUCAACUCGGAAACUGCCAUUGAUACUAUUUAUCUUGAAUAUUGUUGAGGUAGGCGGAAUAUGUCAUGUAGCGGUGAAAUGCUUAGAUAUGACAUAGAACACCGAUUGCGAAGGCAGCUUGCUAAACAAUUAUUGACGCUGAGGCACGAAAGCGUGGGGAUCAAACAGGAUUAGAUACCCUGGUAGUCCACGCCCUAAACGAUGAUUACUGGACAUUUGCGAUAUACAGUGAGUGUCUGAGCGAAAGCAUUAAGUAAUCCACCUGGGAAGUACGUCCGCAAGGAUGAAACUUAAAUAAAUUGACGG